UACAGAGGGUGCAAGCGUUAAUCGGAAUUACUGGGCGUAAAGCGCGCGUAGGUGGUUCGUUAAGUUGGAUGUGAAAUCCCCGGGCUCAACCUGGGAACUGCAUUCAAAACUGACGAGCUAGAGUAUGGUAGAGGGUGGUGGAAUUUCCUGUGUAGCGGUGAAAUGCGUAGAUAUAGGAAGGAACACCAGUGGCGAAGGCGAUCACCUGGACUGAUACUGACACUGAGGUGCGAAAGCGUGGGGAGCAAACAGG
RNAcentral lists this ribosomal RNA (253 nucleotides) under uncultured bacterium. RNAcentral describes it as "partial 16S ribosomal RNA". It matches the Rfam family "Bacterial small subunit ribosomal RNA", at positions 524 to 776 of the family's 1533-position model. The record is from RNAcentral.